UACGUAGGGUGCAAGCGUUAAUCGGAAUUACUGGGCGUAAAGCGUGCGCAGGCGGUGAUGUAAGACAGAUGUGAAAUCCCCGGGCUCAACUUGGGAACUGCAUUUGUGACUGCAUCGCUGGAGUGCGGCAGAGGGGGAUGGAAUUCCGCGUGUAGCAGUGAAAUGCGUAGAUAUGCGGAGGAACGCCGAUGGCGAAGGCAAUCCCCUGGGCCUGCACUGACGCUCAUGCACGAAAGCGUGGGGAGCAAACAGG
This 253-nucleotide ribosomal RNA is filed under the name uncultured bacterium. Its description in RNAcentral is "partial 16S ribosomal RNA". It matches the Rfam family "Bacterial small subunit ribosomal RNA", at positions 524 to 776 of the family's 1533-position model. The record is from RNAcentral.